This 478-nucleotide ribosomal RNA is filed under the name uncultured bacterium. RNAcentral's name for it is "partial 16S ribosomal RNA". It matches the Rfam family "Bacterial small subunit ribosomal RNA", at positions 28 to 523 of the family's 1533-position model. The record is from RNAcentral.
GACGAACGCAGGCGGCGUGCUUAACACAUGCAAGUCGAACGGUAAGGCCCUUCGGGGUACACGAGUGGCGAACGGGUGAGUAACACGUGGGUGAUCUGCCCUGCACUUCGGGAUAAGCCGGGGAAACUGGGUCUAAUACCGGAUAGGACCCUGGGAUGCAUGUCCUGGGGUGGAAAGCUUGUGCGGUGUGGGAUGGGCCCGCGGCCUAUCAGCUUGUUGGUGGGGUGAUGGCCUACCAAGGUGACGACGGGUAGCCGGCCUGAGAGGGUGACCGGCCACACUGGGACUGAGAUACGGCCCAGACUCCUACGGGAGGCAGCAGUGGGGAAUAUUGCACAAUGGGCGCAAGCCUGAUGCAGCGACGCCGCGUGAGGGAUGACGGCCUUCGGGUUGUAAACCUCUUUCAGCACCGACGAAGCGCAAGUGACGGUAGGUGCAGAAGAAGGACCGGCCAACUACGUGCCAGCCGCCGCAGUAA